GUCACGACGGUGCUGCGUUGCUUCUUGCCUCUCGGUGAGGACGAGUUGAUGACCCUCAGCGACAACGAACGCGAAGUGCGACGGCGCUUCUCUAACCCUCAAUAACGACGACUAGUUUUCCUGUCUCGGUCACGACGGUGUUGUCCUCAGUCGUCCUCUUCUUCUCUGCCGCUAGUCUUCUUUUUCUUCUCUUCUUUGACCUCUGCUCAAGCUCAGGUUUUCAAGUACUGUGGCAGCUGGGUUAAGGGGUUAUUGGUUUAUGGACUAUUCUGAUUUCCUGAAAUUAUUGAUUUCUAUUGUUGUUUCGUGCACUACUUACAUUUUUGUUGCAUUUCUUGAUUCCUUUCCGUCCGUUAAUUGUCCUACAGCUUCCUGAGCUUCAGAGAGGUUAGGGGAGAUUGCUUGAGUUAGUUACAAAUGGUGUAUUUUAGAGGAGAGGAAGAACAAAGAAAAAUUUAGCAAAAAUUAUUAGAAGAGAUUUAAAAAUGAAUGGGAUAAACACAAAGAUGACUUAUGACAGGGCACAAUAGCAUUGGUUGUUUCAUGUAUCUAACUCUAGUUAUUGUUA
Molecule: non-coding RNA, 568 nt
Organism: Arachis ipaensis
Lineage: Eukaryota; Viridiplantae; Streptophyta; Magnoliopsida; Fabales; Fabaceae
Source: RefSeq, a predicted model, not a curated record